GAUUGAACGCUGGCGGCAUGCCUUACACAUGCAAGUCGAACGGUAACAGGUCUUCGGAUGCUGACGAGUGGCGAACGGGUGAGUAAUACAUCGGAACGUGCCUAGUAGUGGGGGAUAACUACUCGAAAGAGUAGCUAAUACCGCAUGAGAUCUACGGAUGAAAGCAGGGGAUCGCAAGACCUUGUGCUACUAGAGCGGCUGAUGGCAGAUUAGGUAGUUGGUGGGAUAAAAGCUUACCAAGCCGACGAUCUGUAGCUGGUCUGAGAGGACGAUCAGCCACACUGGGACUGAGACACGGCCCAGACUCCUACGGGAGGCAGCAGUGGGGAAUUUUGGACAAUGGGCGAAAGCCUGAUCCAGCAAUGCCGCGUGCAGGAUGAAGGCCUUCGGGUUGUAAACUGCUUUUGUACGGAACGAAAAGCUUUGGGUUAAUACCCUGGAGUCAUGACGGUACCGUAAGAAUAAGCACCGGCUAACUAC
Molecule: ribosomal RNA, 480 nt
Filed under: Comamonas sp. CR1
Lineage: Bacteria; Pseudomonadati; Pseudomonadota; Betaproteobacteria; Burkholderiales; Comamonadaceae
Description: bacterial SSU rRNA
Rfam family: Bacterial small subunit ribosomal RNA
Source: RNAcentral